This 451-nucleotide long non-coding RNA is filed under the name Bos taurus (domestic cattle). RNAcentral's name for it is "long non-coding RNA NONBTAT009815". The record is from RNAcentral. Lineage: Eukaryota; Metazoa; Chordata; Mammalia; Artiodactyla; Bovidae.
GGUUCUUUUAAAAAAUGUGAUAUUUGUAAGGAAAAGAUUAAGGUAGUUCAGAACAAAAUGGAGUGGGUAUUAUGUCAGAGGAGUGGUGAUACUGAUUGACAACGGUUGUCAUGGGCUGUUGCCACAUUGUCUUAACUUAAAGGACUUGUAAAACAUACUUCUGGGUAUAGGUAUGUCAUGUAAAGUCUGUUGACUUAGGAACUCAAAAAAUUACACUUAACAGAUGUUAAACUCAGAUUUUAAAUCAUACAUUAGGUUUUACAAGGUUUCAGCAUGCUUUCCUGGUGAAAUGAAUGAGAACAGCAUUUUUACUAACAUUAAGCAAGUUUUAUUAAGCAUGUUGACAAGGUUCUAAUAAACACAUUGAGGUAAAUUUCAUGUUGAAAGAGACUCAGCAAAAUCCUCCCUCAAAAAUAUAUUUAGCAUUUUUGAGUUUACGAGAUAAAUAGAC